Molecule: long non-coding RNA, 1416 nt
Filed under: Equus caballus (horse)
Lineage: Eukaryota; Metazoa; Chordata; Mammalia; Perissodactyla; Equidae
Description: lncRNA (ENSECAG00000052237.1)
Source: RNAcentral
AUCAAAAAGAUCGAAGAUAACAUAGGCGAAUUUCUCUAGUCUUCUGUCUCAUUGUUCCUGAAGGUGGCCUUGUUAGUAGAACCCAGAAUACAUUUAACCAUUUUAGGAGCAGUGGUGUGCUGGAGACCAAUGGUAUGUCGAAUAAGAAACUAUGCCCUUCAAGUGCAUGGAAAUGAUCUAAUACUUUCACUAUUUUUAUUGAGAAUCAUUGACCUUCUGCCACCUUCAGCUUCAGACAACUUCGCCAUAGCCACCUGGAUAAGAAGAAAACACCAAUGCUAGAUCUCAUAAGGCAGCCAUAAUCUAAUUUCCAUAGGCUUCUUUCUAUUGUGAAGUGUUACCUUGAGGAAGAACGUGUGGGGAAUGUUGGAGCAGAAAAAUAAAAAGAAUGCAAGUAUUGAUGAUUUGAUGGACCCACUCAAUUAACCAGUCCUGGAACUGCUCUAUCUCUGACAUUGUUGAAAUGAGACAUAUUAAGACAUCAUUUCAAUUUAAGCCAUUUUGGGGUUGAAUUUUCUUUUAUUUGCUACCAAAAACAUCAUAACUAAUGUCUCCUUACUGCUUCCUGAGAAAGGCAGAAAGUUCUCAGGGAUGACAAAUGGAGCUUCACUGAUUCGAUAAUAGUUAAUGGUUGCUGUUCCUUGGUGGUUUAUAUACUUGGCUGAAUAGAUUCUCUGCUCAAUAGCUGAGAAGAUGAAACGACUUUCCCUGAAGCCAAAAAAUGAUAUCAAAGGUAUUAUCACCUACUAUGACAUUUUUGUGGCCUUCAUUUUUCUCAGCAGCAAGCGGUGAAAAAUCUUUUCUGAAGGAGAUAAUCAUGGUCAAAAUGGAUUGCAAUUCCAACGUCUGGAUUGUCCAAUGAUUUGUACAAAAAGUUGCAGCAAAGUGAUUCCUCUUCUUGUUAGUUUAAGGAGGACUAAGUUUCAAAUUGCUCCAUAAUGAUGGGUUUAAUACAUAUCUGAUUCAAAACUCUUGCGUAAGGAAACAUUUCGGGUCAAAAGUUUAUAUUAAGCCCCACAAAGUCCAAUAUACCCUAAAAUGUAUUCUGCGUUAUAAGAUAUUUUAAGAUCACUGACUUCUAGUCUAUAUUCACCCACUUCAUAGAAAGGGGUAAUCUUUUUGAGCCUCAACACUUGCUUAUACUAUAUGAGGACUUUUCUAAUUCAUCUCAAAGUCUUUCAUGCCUUUCCAAUCGUGUUGUAUUAUUUGACAUUUUCUACUAUAGUACUUUAUAAUAAAGUGAGCAAGCUAAAUAGAUUUUUAGAGAUAAAUACAUCUGAUCAAAUAAUGCUGUGUAUAUUAUGUUAAGACCAUUUUUGAAAUUUCCGAGAAAUUUUCAUAUAUUUUCCUGCCAUCAUAAAGGUUCAUAGAUAUAAUUAUCUCAAAAUUUCAAUUUUUAUGGUAUUUCGUAGCAAG